This is a long non-coding RNA of Phyllostomus discolor (pale spear-nosed bat), 654 nucleotides long. RefSeq lists it as uncharacterized. The transcript has 2 exons. The record is from RefSeq and is a predicted model, not a curated record. Lineage: Eukaryota; Metazoa; Chordata; Mammalia; Chiroptera; Phyllostomidae.
CUCUCUAAAAAUAUAUACAAUCUUUAAAAAAACACACACACAUCCCCUUUUCACUACUAAAAAUCAGUGUUUUCUCUACAUGAAUCAAAAAUAUUCCUGGGAGAGUUCCACCUUUGUGCACAAUUUAGAAGAAAUAAAAGCCUAGAUAAUACAAAAAGUCUCCAAUGUUCACAUUGAUCAUCACUCAUUCUGGAAGGAAAGAAGGCAGCCAACGAGACAGCUCCACAGGAUCCCAGGGCAGAGAGCUCUUCAACCCACGUGUCCGGUCUGCCUGGCCACAAACUGAAGCCUGCUGGAAAACUCACUUCCCCAUCUCUGUGCCUUGUUUUUUUUUUUCCCUUUCAAAUGAGGAAGUUGUACUAACUAUUGAAGUUCAAUGGAAGCAACAAGUAUUUUUGAGCACCUCCAAGGUGCCAGGCUCUGUGCCAAGCCCUUGAAGUGGGCAGGAAUGCGAUGACAGGGUCCCUGCCGUCACUGAUUACAGACUGCCUGAGGCAGACCUUGCGCAGGAGGGCAGGACAAUGAGAGGACAAGCAACGCCAUUUGGUGUCAUUUCUGAGUCUUCCCGACUGCUCAAAUAGAGAAGUGGCUGCUUCCUCCUCUGGCUCCUAAAGCAUCUUGGAAAUGUUUCAACACUUCCAAGGUAUAUUAAAG